Lucilia cuprina (Australian sheep blowfly) is the source of this 586-nucleotide long non-coding RNA. RefSeq lists it as uncharacterized. Lineage: Eukaryota; Metazoa; Arthropoda; Insecta; Diptera; Calliphoridae. The transcript is spliced from 3 exons. The record is from RefSeq and is a predicted model, not a curated record.
GUGUGUUGUGUCAGCUGUUUGUUUAAAUAAACAAACAGACAACAUAAAGAACAAAAAGGGACAGAGCGGCCAGAUUGCUAGCGGCGCUGGUAUGCUCGCGUAUUGCGCGGCUAAAGCUCGCCGGAUGGGGUGGUUUAGUUUUAACAAAUUUAGUUGUAGCAAAAUUAGUUUUAAUUUUAAGCAAAUUUUAGUUUUACGUUAAACAAAAUUUAUUUUUAAGUUUUUAGCUUUAAGUUUAAUUUAAGUUUCAAGUUAUUCUACGUCUUUUUUUCUUUCUUUUAUUUAAGUUUUCCCUUUUAUUUUUAGGUCCCUCAACAUCGAUUACUGGGUUGCUGCUGUGAGUAACAGGAUUCUUGAGAGCUGAUUGGUUUUCGGUCCGUCCGUAUUUCAGUCUGUUAGAGUAUUCACGGCUACCUAAAUUCAAACUUAUCACGUUUUUUUAUUUAAUAUUUGGCCUGAGCUCAAACCUAAUCGCGCACGUUUGGCUUAAUCACAAACUGGAUGACGACAAACGAAGUCGACAGGAAAUUAUUUAAAAGUAGUAAUUAGAAGUCCUGUUCGUUUGGUCGUUCGGGUGAAUGGUAAG